RNAcentral lists this microRNA (21 nucleotides) under Homo sapiens (human). Its description in RNAcentral is "hsa-miR-7845-5p". The record is from miRBase by way of RNAcentral. Lineage: Eukaryota; Metazoa; Chordata; Mammalia; Primates; Hominidae.
AAGGGACAGGGAGGGUCGUGG